GAACGCUGGCGGCGUGCCUAAUACAUGCAAGUCGAACGCUUUUUCUUUCACCGGAGCUUGCUCCACCGAAAGAAAAGGAGUGGCGAACGGGUGAGUAACACGUGGGUAACCUGCCCAUCAGAAGGGGAUAACACUUGGAAACAGGUGCUAAUACCGUAUAACAAUCGAAACCGCAUGGUUUCGGUUUGAAAGGCGCUUUUGCGUCACUGAUGGAUGGACCCGCGGUGCAUUAGCUAGUUGGUGAGGUAACGGCUCACCAAGGCAACGAUGCAUAGCCGACCUGAGAGGGUGAUCGGCCACAUUGGGACUGAGACACGGCCCAAACUCCUACGGGAGGCAGCAGUAGGGAAUCUUCGGCAAUGGACGCAAGUCUGACCGAGCAACGCCGCGUGAGUGAAGAAGGUUUUCGGAUCGUAAAACUCUGUUGUUAGAGAAGAACAAGGAUGAGAGUAAAAUGUUCAUCCCUUGACGGUAUCUAACCAGAAAGCCACGGCUAACUACGUGCCAGCAGCCGCGGUAAUACGUAGGUGGCAAGCGUUGUCCGGAUUUAUUGGGCGUAAAGCGAGCGCAGGCGGUUUCUUAAGUCUGAUGUGAAAGCCCCCGGCUCAACCGGGGAGGGUCAUUGGAAACUGGGAAACUUGAGUGCAGAAGAGGAGAGUGGAAUUCCAUGUGUAGCGGUGAAAUGCGUAGAUAUAUGGAGGAACACCAGUGGCGAAGGCGG
This 721-nucleotide ribosomal RNA is filed under the name uncultured Bacilli bacterium. RNAcentral's name for it is "bacterial SSU rRNA". It matches the Rfam family "Bacterial small subunit ribosomal RNA", at positions 31 to 724 of the family's 1533-position model. Lineage: Bacteria; Bacillati; Bacillota; Bacilli. The record is from RNAcentral.